Molecule: ribosomal RNA, 464 nt
Filed under: uncultured bacterium
Lineage: Bacteria
Description: bacterial SSU rRNA
Rfam family: Bacterial small subunit ribosomal RNA
Source: RNAcentral
CCUACGGGAGGCAGCAGUAAGGAAUAUUGGUCAAUGGAGGCAACUCUGAACCAGCCAUGCCGCGUGCAGGAAGACUGCCCUAUGGGUUGUAAACUGCUUUUAUCCGGGGAAUAAACCUGCUUACGUGUAAGUAGCUGAAUGUACCGGAAGAAUAAGGAUCGGCUAACUCCGUGCCAGCAGCCGCGGUAAUACGGAGGAUCCAAGCGUUAUCCGGAUUUAUUGGGUUUAAAGGGUGCGUAGGCGGCCUGUUAAGUCAGGGGUGAAAGACGGUAGCUCAACUAUCGCAGUGCCCUUGAUACUGAUGGGCUUGAAUGGACUAGAGGGUAGGCGGAAUGAGACAAGUAGCGGUGAAAUGCAUAGAUAUGUCUCAGAACACCGAUUGCGAAGGCAGCUUACUAUGGUCUUAUUGACGCUGAGGCACGGAAAGCGUGGGGAUCAAACAGGAUUAGAUACCCUGGUAGUCC